UCUGCUGGAUAGUUCAGUCAGGUAGAACAUGAGAUUCUUAAUCCCAGGGUCAUGGGUUCAAGCUCACAUUGGGCAGAA
Molecule: non-coding RNA, 78 nt
Organism: Podarcis lilfordi (Lilford's wall lizard)
Lineage: Eukaryota; Metazoa; Chordata; Lepidosauria; Squamata; Lacertidae
Source: the annotation of a GenBank genome assembly